This 257-nucleotide ribosomal RNA is filed under the name Perca fluviatilis (European perch). Its description in RNAcentral is "partial 12S ribosomal RNA". Lineage: Eukaryota; Metazoa; Chordata; Actinopteri; Perciformes; Percidae. The record is from RNAcentral.
GCCCAUGACACCUUGCUUAGCCACACCCCCAAGGGAACUCAGCAGUGAUAGACAUUAAGCCAUAAGUGAAAACUUGACUUAGUCAAAGCUAAGAGGGCCGGUAAAACUCGUGCCAGCCACCGCGGUUAUACGAGAGGCCCAAGUUGAUAGACAUCGGCGUAAAGCGUGGUUAAGAUUAAAGACAAUACUAAAGCCGAACACCUUCAGAGCUGUUAUACGCAUCCGAAGGUAAGAAGUUCAACCACGAAAGUGGCUUU